Molecule: transfer RNA, 72 nt
Filed under: Saccostrea mordax (small rock oyster)
Lineage: Eukaryota; Metazoa; Mollusca; Bivalvia; Ostreida; Ostreidae
Description: tRNA-Met
Source: RNAcentral
UGCAAAAUAGAUUAAUAUUUAUAGAUCGCCGGGCCCAUACCCCGGAAGUGUUUACAUUUGUAGCUUUUGCAG